CCUACGGGAGGCAGCAGUGGGGGAUAUUGCACAAUGGGGGAAACCCUGAUGUAGCGACGCCGCGUGAGUGAAGAAGUAUUUCGGUACGUAAAGCUCUAUCAGCCGGGAAGAAAAAAAGUCCUUUGGACUUUGGACGGUACCUGACUAAGAAGCCCCGGCUAACUACGUGCCAGCAGCCGCGGUAAUACGUAGUGGACAAGCGUUAUCCGGAUUUACUGGGUGUAAAGGGAGCGUAGACGGCAGCGCAAGUCUGGAGUGAAAUGCCGGGGCCCAACCCCGGAACUGCUUUGGAAACUGUGCAGCUGGAGUGCAGGAGAGGUAAGCGGAAUUCCUAGUGUAGCGGUGAAAUGCGUAGAUAUUAGGAGGAACACCAGUGGCGAAGGCAGCUUACUGGACUGUAACUGACGUUGAGGCUCGAAAGCGUGGGGAGCAAACAGGAUUAGAUACCCCGGUAGUC
Molecule: ribosomal RNA, 457 nt
Filed under: uncultured bacterium
Lineage: Bacteria
Description: partial 16S ribosomal RNA
Rfam family: Bacterial small subunit ribosomal RNA
Source: RNAcentral